RNAcentral lists this ribosomal RNA (497 nucleotides) under uncultured bacterium. RNAcentral's name for it is "partial 16S ribosomal RNA". It matches the Rfam family "Bacterial small subunit ribosomal RNA", at positions 28 to 507 of the family's 1533-position model. The record is from RNAcentral.
GAUGAACGCUGGCGGCGUGCCUAAUACAUGCAAGUCGAGCGAACAGACGAGGAGCUUGCUCCUCUGACGUUAGCGGCGGACGGGUGAGUAACACGUGGAUAACCUACCUAUAAGACUGGGAUAACUUCGGGAAACCGGAGCUAAUACGGGAUAAUAUAUUGAACCGCAUGGUUCAAUAGUGAAAGACGGUUUUGCUGUCACUUAUAGAUGGAUCCGCGCCGCAUUAGCUAGUUGGUAAGGUACCGGCUUACCAAGGCAACGAUGCGUAGCCGACCUGAGAGGGUGAUCGGCCACACUGGAACUGAGACACGGUCCAGACUCCUACGGGAGGCAGCAGUAGGGAAUCUUCCGCAAUGGGCGAAAGCCUGACGGAGCAACGCCGCGUGAGAGAUGAAGGUCUUCGGAUCGUAAAACUCUGUUAUUAGGGAAGAACAAAUGUGUAAGUAACUAUGCACGUCUUGACGGUACCUAAUCAGAAAGCCACGGCUAACUACGUG